GAGAGAGAGAGAGAGAGAGAGAGAGAGAGAGAGAGAGAGAGAGACAGGGAGAGAGUGUCCGGCCGUCUGUCUGUGUUUUCUUUCUACAACCGACACAGAGACACUGAGGCCCCCCCCCCCCCCAACCAAAACCCAGGGAGGAGGUCCCAGAAUAAAAUUUGAAUAACAUUUAUUGUUUUAUUUAUACUUUCUGAUUAAUAUAUUAUUAUUAUUAAGGCACUUAUGGAAGCAUUAUUCACUAAUGAAACAAGAAAUCAUCAGCUGAACACACGAGAACAUUCAGUUGGAUCCACUGAGUUGUUUAUUACAAUUAUGCUUCAUGAACAAAAAAGACAGAAAAAUAGUCCCUUAAAUGUACACAAUAAACACGAGGACUAAAACAAUAGAAGCAGCAGACUUUACAAAUCAUCAACAGGGGUGGACAUAUCUUUAAUAACUGAACAUGUUCUGCGGCCGCUUGCUUCCCAACAGAAAACAAAAAAUCAAGAUUCAGUUUAAAGUAAUUUACAACAUGCAACAUUAUCCCAUAGACAUCUUGGUUAUUAUGAAUAAAACAUAACAUCUGCUUUAAAUCAGGUUUCAAAUCAGGAUUAUGACAAAAAUGAUGAUUAGAGAUGCCUUAAGACUUAUACUGGUGAAGUCUGAAAAUAUAUAAAGAUUUACCAUCAAUAGGUAUUAUAUGUACAUUUCAAAUAAUAAAUGUGCUUAUCUAACUAUGGGAUAUCUGAAAAGUAUUUUCAUGGUUUAUCAUGCUAUACUUUAAAGAAGAGAGAGAGAGAGAGAGAGAGAGAGAGAGAGAGAGAGAGAGAGAGAGAGAGAGAGAGAGAGAGAGAGAGAGAGAGAGAGAGAGAGAGAGAGAGAGAGAGAGAGAGA
Long non-coding RNA from Gadus macrocephalus (Pacific cod), 873 nucleotides. RefSeq lists it as uncharacterized. The record is from RefSeq and is a predicted model, not a curated record. Lineage: Eukaryota; Metazoa; Chordata; Actinopteri; Gadiformes; Gadidae. The transcript is spliced from 2 exons.